Molecule: long non-coding RNA, 419 nt
Filed under: Mytilus galloprovincialis (Mediterranean mussel)
Lineage: Eukaryota; Metazoa; Mollusca; Bivalvia; Mytilida; Mytilidae
Source: RNAcentral
GGGGCUGGAACCUCCCUUUUUUGGCCGAUCAAUGCAUUUGAAUAGGGACAUAUAGUUGGAACCCACUCCCUUUUUAAAAUGGCUGGAUCUGCCCCUGUAUAAGAUGUGCAUUUAUAAGCUGUUUCGUAAGAACAAAUGUCCCUACGUAACAAUACAUGAUAGAUUAUGAAAUGCCAGCGUAUUCCCGAUUUUGAUAUUACAUGCCCCGUUUUUUACUCCUUUUACAGAAGCGACAAAUGACAACCUAAGUAGCCAGGUCAAUAAUUUUCUAUAUAUAGAUCGGAAUUCCUUCUAGUUAUUUAAAAGACUCUGAUUAAUAUCGGUUAGGGAAAUUUUUUCCGGAACUUUAUAUAAAUAAAAAAGAAUAGGAUAUAGAUAGCAAUUAUCGUUACUAAGUGAUGAAAACAUCGGGUUAUUCA